This 468-nucleotide ribosomal RNA is filed under the name uncultured bacterium. RNAcentral describes it as "SSU rRNA". It matches the Rfam family "Bacterial small subunit ribosomal RNA", at positions 26 to 518 of the family's 1533-position model. The record is from RNAcentral.
AGGAUAAACGCUGGCGGCGUGCCUAACACAUGCAAGUCGAACGCGCUUUCGGGCUUCGGUGCGAGAGCGAGUGGCGGACGGGUGAGUAACACAUGGGUACCUGCCUUUCAGUGAGGGAUACCGGCGAGAAAUCGCCGACAAUACCGCAUGGGCUUGUGGGAACACAAGCAAAGUGGCGCAAGCCACGCUGGAAGAUGGGCCUGUGGCCGAUUAGCUAGUUGGGGGGUAACGGCCUCCCAAGGCGACGAUCGGUAGCUGGUCUGAGAGGACGAUCAGCCACACUGGGAUUGAGAACGGCCCAGACUCCUACGGGGGCAGCAGUGAGGAAUUUUCCGCAAUGGACGAAAGUCUGACGGAGCAACGCCGCGUGCAGGAGGAAGGUUUUCGGAUCGUAAACUGCUUUUCUCGGGGACGAGCAAGGACGGUACCCGAGGAAGAAGCCCCGGCUAACUACGUGCCAGCAGCCGC